GCUAGGGUGGCGGAAUUGGCAGACGCACGGGACUUAAAAUCCCGAGGUUGGUGUUUUCAACCGUACCGGUUCGACUCCGUUCCUCGGCA
Molecule: transfer RNA, 89 nt
Filed under: Lactobacillus sp. ESL0230
Lineage: Bacteria; Bacillati; Bacillota; Bacilli; Lactobacillales; Lactobacillaceae
Description: tRNA-Leu
Rfam family: tRNA
About the family: Transfer RNA (tRNA) molecules are approximately 80 nucleotides in length.
Source: RNAcentral